Long non-coding RNA from Pezoporus flaviventris, 1828 nucleotides. RefSeq lists it as uncharacterized. Lineage: Eukaryota; Metazoa; Chordata; Aves; Psittaciformes; Psittacidae. The transcript is spliced from 2 exons. The record is from RefSeq and is a predicted model, not a curated record.
AGGGUGAAACGCCUCCGGGCGGAAGCCGUACACAGCCCUUUCCAGAACGUUCUGCGCGCUGACUGACAGGCCGGCGCAGCCUGCGGCGACCGGAGGGCGCCCUCUGCUGUCCCGUCCGCACUUCAUCGCAUCCCCCCCCAGCCGCGGUGGCGUGGAGGCGGUUAGUUAAAAACGAGAAAAAAAUCAAUUAUUUUGUGAGGAAAAAAUAAUCCGACAAUGCUGAUUUGGCGCCCUACAAUACAUAUUCCUCCUCCCACACCUGCUGCUUGUGUAAGUUUUGUCAGGAUUUUGUUAAAGUGUUAUUUACAGCCUGAGUGCUCUAAGGGAAAAGUGCUGAGUUGAAAAAUAAAAUUAAAAGUUGAGUUAAACUCAGCUGACGAGCACAAUAUUGUUUUUUUUCCAAUUCUUUUUUUUUUUUAAAGUACUGUUUUGUCACCACUUUAUGGUGGUUUAUAGUUCCCUUAAAUGGCUCUUGGUAUCAGAUGGCAAAUGCUAAAAACUGUAAAUCCAGCUUGUCUAAUCCAGAGUUUAAAAUAUUCUUGUGAUGUCACAAAAUGAUGGUUUAUAAAAUAUUUUCAUUUAAUUAGGAAGCACUAAGAGGAUUUCUGCAAGGAGGGAAAAAAAAAGGCGAGCAGCUCAGUUUGAAUUAUUUAUGCGCUGUGAACUAUCAUGGUUGCUGCUGAAGCUUUUCAAGUACAAAAACAGGGGCUUUGCUCGAUUUUCACUUUUAGCCCUUAAUUCUUUAAUUAUUCAGGCAUGCAAAUUCCUGUGAACUGGGAUUAAUUAUGCAGGUAAUCAAGGUUUUAUUCAAAGUUUAGUUUUAAAAAGCAAAGAUUAGCUGAUAGUACCGUGGGUGCUGCUGUCGCUGUGCUCAUGCACUGAAAUACUAUUUGCAGGUACUAUAACGGCUUCUGAUUUCAUGGAAGCAAAAAGGGGGAUGGAUGGAUUCAUGCACUGUGCAAAACAAGGAAUGCCAGCUAUGGCAGCCUGGUGGUGGUUGGCUGGCAUAGCUCGCUGUCUAGCAAGGGUGAAGGAUGUCCUCCACAGGGAUUGAGUGCUCAUUGUCCUUUUGCAGGGAUGGAAGCCACUUCCAGCUUUGGGUGGAAGAAGAAGGGCCAAGGAGCUGAUCUUCAAUUGUACGGAAUGAACAGCAACAGAUGGAGAAGUAGGAGACAAAUGAAUUGUUCCUUCCUUUUCUGUAUCUCUUUUUGGAUUUAAUUAUCCAUGGAUUUUGUAGCUGUCAACUGAUGGAUGUGCAAUCUACCAGUGCCUGCUGGCUAAUCCACUUUGGGACUUUAUUAGAUUGGUUGAAAAAUGAUUGAAUUAGAAUAAUAUUCUGCUGUAAAUAAAACAAUAGUGGGAGAAUAAGGAAGUCUAUGGAAAAAGUGUUAUUGGUAUCAACAGAAGAAACUGAGUUUCAAUUUCUAAGGGGUAAAUCUGAGUAUCAGUUACAUUAGUGCAGCGCCACAGAAAGAGCUGGGCUUGUUCUUACGAGACUGAGAACUACAUAAAAGAAAAAAAUGAGAGACAGAAAAAAUUAGCAAAAAAAAAAAAAGUCUUGUGGUUUGGUAGGAAUCCAAAUAGAGGAUAUUAAAUUUGGUUUGUGUGGCCAGUAGCAUCUUGUAAACCCAGAUGCAGAACAUAGAAAGUCGUAAAGCAAUAGCAACUGGAGGAAGAGAAAUGGGAAGUUGUAGACCUAUCAAAAGAAAUAGAAGUGAGUGCCUUUAAAAAAUGAGUACUUGAGGGUUUGCGUAACUGGAGAUCUGUCUUAUGCCAUGAGAAUAUUUUCUCUGUGUGAAGUUUCUAUUCAAUGAAUCGUACUCAAAUG